This 596-nucleotide small RNA is filed under the name Arthrographis curvata. Its description in RNAcentral is "eukaryotic LSU rRNA". It matches the Rfam family "Eukaryotic large subunit ribosomal RNA", at positions 44 to 667 of the family's 3401-position model. Lineage: Eukaryota; Fungi; Ascomycota; Dothideomycetes; Eremomycetales; Eremomycetaceae. The record is from RNAcentral.
CAAUAAGCGGAGGAAAAGAAACCAACAGGGAUUACCUCAGUAACGGCGAGUGAAGCGGUACAGCUCAAAUUUGAAAUCGGCCACCCGGUCGAGUUGUAAUUUGCAGAGGAUGCUUCGGCUUACGCCCCGGUCCAAGUCCGUUGGAACACGGCGUCGCAGAGGGUGAGAAUCCCGUUGCGGCCGGCGGCCACGCCAUGUGAAGCUCCUUCGACGAGUCGAGUUGUUUGGGAAUGCAGCUCAAAAUGGGAGGUAAAUUUCUUCUAAAGCUAAAUAUUGGCCCGAGACCGAUAGCGCACAAGUAGAGUGAUCGAAAGAUGAAAAGCAUCUUGGAAAGGAAUCGAACAGCACGUGAAAUUGUUGAAGGGGAAGCGCUCGCGGCGAGAGCCCGCGCGGUCGUUCACCGGGGCCUCGCGCCCCGGGCACGCGGCCGCGUCGGCCAGCAUCGGUUCGGGCGGCGGGAGAAACGCCGACGGCAUGUAGCUCCCCUCGGGGAGUGUUAUAGCCGCGGCGCAAUACCGCCCGCCUGGACCGUGGCACGCGCUCUCGCUCGGAUGCUGGCGUAAUCGCCGCGAGCGGCCCGUCUUGAAACACGGACC